RNAcentral lists this ribosomal RNA (1193 nucleotides) under Curtobacterium flaccumfaciens pv. flaccumfaciens. Its description in RNAcentral is "bacterial SSU rRNA". It matches the Rfam family "Bacterial small subunit ribosomal RNA", at positions 42 to 1246 of the family's 1533-position model. The record is from RNAcentral. Lineage: Bacteria; Bacillati; Actinomycetota; Actinomycetes; Micrococcales; Microbacteriaceae.
GCGUGCUUACACAUGCAGUCGAACGAUGAUGCCCAGCUUGCUGGGUGGAUUAGUGGCGAACGGGUGAGUAACACGUGAGUAACCUGCCCCUGACUCUGGGAUAAGCGUUGGAAACGACGUCUAAUACUGGAUAUGAUCACUGGCCGCAUGGUCUGGUGGUGGAAAGAUUUUUUGGUUGGGGAUGGACUCGCGGCCUAUCAGCUUGUUGGUGAGGUAAUGGCUCACCAAGGCGACGACGGGUAGCCGGCCUGAGAGGGUGACCGGCCACACUGGGACUGAGACACGGCCCAGACUCCUACGGGAGGCAGCAGUGGGGAAUAUUGCACAAUGGGCGAAAGCCUGAUGCAGCAACGCCGCGUGAGGGAUGACGGCCUUCGGGUUGUAAACCUCUUUUAGUAGGGAAGAAGCGAAAGUGACGGUACCUGCAGAAAAAGCACCGGCUAACUACGUGCCAGCAGCCGCGGUAAUACGUAGGGUGCAAGCGUUGUCCGGAAUUAUUGGGCGUAAAGAGCUCGUAGGCGGUUUGUCGCGUCUGCUGUGAAAUCCCGAGGCUCAACCUCGGGCUUGCAGUGGGUACGGGCAGACUAGAGUGCGGUAGGGGAGAUUGGAAUUCCUGGUGUAGCGGUGGAAUGCGCAGAUAUCAGGAGGAACACCGAUGGCGAAGGCAGAUCUCUGGGCCGUAACUGACGCUGAGGAGCGAAAGCAUGGGGAGCGAACAGGAUUAGAUACCCUGGUAGUCCAUGCCGUAAACGUUGGGCGCUAGAUGUAGGGACCUUUCCACGGUUUCUGUGUCGUAGCUAACGCAUUAAGCGCCCCGCCUGGGGAGUACGGCCGCAAGGCUAAAACUCAAAGGAAUUGACGGGGGCCCGCACAAGCGGCGGAGCAUGCGGAUUAAUUCGAUGCAACGCGAAGAACCUUACCAAGGCUUGACAUACACCGGAAACGGCCAGAGAUGGUCGCCCCCUUGUGGUCGGUGUACAGGUGGUGCAUGGUUGUCGUCAGCUCGUGUCGUGAGAUGUUUGGGUUAAGUCCCGCAACGAGCGCAACCCUCGUUCUAUGUUGCCAGCGGGUUAUGCCGGGGACUCAUAGGAGACUGCCGGGGUCAACUCCGAGGAAAGGGGGGGGAUGACGUCAAAUCAUCAUGCCCCUUAUGGCUUGGGGUUCCCGCCUGGUUCAAUGGGCCGGGCAAAGGG